GGCGGGACACGUGGUAUCCUGUCUGAAUAUGGGGGGACCAUCCUCCAAGGCUAAAUACUCCUGACUGACCGAUAGUGAACCAGUACCGUGAGGGAAAGGCGAAAAGAACCCCGGCGAGGGGAGUGAAAAAGAACCUGAAACCGUGUACGUACAAGCAGUGGGAGCACCCUUUGGGGUGUGACUGCGUACCUUUUGUAUAAUGGGUCAGCGACUUAUAUUCUGUAGCAAGGUUAACCGAAUAGGGGAGCCGGAGGGAAACCGAGUCUUAAUUGGGCGUUAAGUUGCAGGGUAUAGACCCGAAACCCGGUGAUCUAGCCAUGGGCAGGUUGAAGGUUGGGUAACACUAACUGGAGGACCGAACCGACUAAUGUUGAAAAAUUAGCGGAUGACCUGUGGCUGGGGGUGAAAGGCCAAUCAAACCGGGAGAUAGCUGGUUCUCCCCGAAAGCUAUUUAGGUAGCGCCUCGUGAAUUCAUCUCCGGGGGUAGAGCACUGUUUCGGCUAGGGGGCCAUCCCGGCUUACCAACCCGAUGCAAACUGCGAAUACCGGAGAAUGUUAUCACGGGAGACACACGGCGGGUGCUAACGUCCGUCGUGAAGAGGGAAACAACCCAGACCGCCAGCUAAGGUCCCAAAGUCAUGGUUAAGUGGGAAACGAUGUGGGAAGGCCCAGACAGCCAGGAUGUUGGCUUAGAAGCAGCCAUCAUUUAAAGAAAGCGUAAUAGCUCACUGGUCGAGUCGGCCUGCGCGGAAGAUGUAACGGGGCUAAACCAUGCACCGAAGCUGCGGCAGCGACGCUGAUGCGUUGUUGGGUAGGGGAGCGUUCUGUAAGCCUGUGAAGGUGGCCUGUGAGGGUUGCUGGAGGUAUCAGAAGUGCGAAUGCUGACAUAAGUAACGAUAAAGCGGGUGAAAAGCCCGCUCGCCGGAAGACCAAGGGUUCCUGUCCAACGUUAAUCGGGGCAGGGUGAGUCGACCCCUAAGGCGAGGCCGAAAGGCGUAGUCGAUGGGAAACGGGUUAAUAUUCCCGUACUUGGUGUUACUGCGAAGGGGGGACGGAGAAGGCUAUGUUGGCCGGGCGACGGUUGUCCCGGUUUAAGCGUGUAGGUGUGUGUUCCAGGUAAAUCCGGUUCACUUUAACACUGAGGCGUGA
Molecule: ribosomal RNA, 1149 nt
Filed under: Salmonella enterica
Lineage: Bacteria; Pseudomonadati; Pseudomonadota; Gammaproteobacteria; Enterobacterales; Enterobacteriaceae
Description: partial 23S ribosomal RNA
Rfam family: Bacterial large subunit ribosomal RNA
Source: RNAcentral